Molecule: non-coding RNA, 123 nt
Filed under: Oryza punctata
Lineage: Eukaryota; Viridiplantae; Streptophyta; Magnoliopsida; Poales; Poaceae
Source: RNAcentral
GUGUUCGUAGAAAGGAGAGACGGUUGGCAUCUCCCCUGACAGGGACGGGAACAGUCUUUGGACUUUCCUCUACACAUUGCGGUUAAGGCUACCCGCUUCGGCGGAUCUUACCCAAAUUUUUUU